AACGAACGCUGGCGGCAUGCCUAACACAUGCAAGUCGAACGAGAUCUUCGGGUCUAGUGGCGCACGGGUGCGUAACGCGUGGGAAUCUGCCCUUUGGUUCGGAAUAACAGUUGGAAACGACUGCUAAUACCGGAUGAUGACGAAAGUCCAAAGAUUUAUCGCCAGAGGAUGAGCCCGCGUAGGAUUAGCUAGUUGGUGUGGUAAAGGCGCACCAAGGCGACGAUCCUUAGCUGGUCUGAGAGGAUGAUCAGCCACACUGGGACUGAGACACGGCCAAGACUCCUACGGGAGGCAGGAGUGGGGAAUAUUGGACAGUGGGCGAAAGCCGGAUCCAGCAAGGCCGCGUGAGUGAUGAAGGCCUUAGGGUUGUAAAGCUCUUCUCCCCGGGAUGAUAAUGACAGUACCGGGAGAAUAAGCUCCGGCUAACUCCGGGCAAGCCGCCGCGGUAA
Molecule: ribosomal RNA, 449 nt
Filed under: uncultured bacterium
Lineage: Bacteria
Description: partial 16S ribosomal RNA
Rfam family: Bacterial small subunit ribosomal RNA
Source: RNAcentral